RNAcentral lists this ribosomal RNA (506 nucleotides) under uncultured bacterium. Its description in RNAcentral is "partial 16S ribosomal RNA". It matches the Rfam family "Bacterial small subunit ribosomal RNA", at positions 29 to 523 of the family's 1533-position model. The record is from RNAcentral.
AUUGAACGCUGGCGGCAGGCCCAACACAUGCAAGUCGGACGGUAGCACAGAGGAGCUUGCUCCUCGGGUGACGAGUGGCGGACGGGUGAGUAAUGUCUGGGGAUCUGCCCGAUAGAGGGGGAUAACCACUGGAAACGGUGGCUAAUACCGCAUAACGUCGCAAGACCAAAGAGGGGGACCUUCGGGCCUCCCACUAUCGGAUGAACCCAGAUGGGAUUAGCUAGUAGGCGGGGUAACGGCCCACCUAGGCGACGAGCCCUAGCUGGGCUGAGAGGAUGACCAGCCAAACUGGAACUGAGACACGGUCCAGACUCCUACGGGAGGCAGCAGUGGGGAAUAUUGCACAAUGGGCGCAAGCCUGAUGCAGCCAUGCCGCGUGUAUGAAGAAGGCCUUCGGGUUGUAAAGUACUUUCAGCGGGGAGGAAGGCGAUGUGGUUAAUAACCGCAUUGAUUGACGUUACCCGCAGAAGAAGCACCGGCUAACUCCGUGCCAGCCGCCGCAGUAA